GGCUUGGGCUGUGCUUCCUGGAGCUUCUGACUAUCGAGGCACUUUCUGAUUUCGCUACACUGACCACUGCAAGGGAACCCGACAACUGAUGUGCAUCUCAAAGCUGCCAGCUGCUCUCCUCAUCCUCUCUGUGGCACUAAUCCACCUGAAAGCUAUACCUGUGGGCAGUUUGUUUAUAUGGUGGAUUACAUUGAUGGAUUUCCAUAUAUUGAAACACCCCUCCAUACUUGAAGUGAAGUCCAUUUGGUCACAGUGGAUGAUGUCUUUGUUAUGUUCUUGGAUUAGCUUCUCACUGAAUUGCUCUGCUUGGAAAAACUGCCUCUGAACUCCACAAACUGAACUGUACCAAACCAACUGCACCGAACUCAACCAAAGUGAACCUGACUAUGCAAACUCUACUGUAUUUCUGCACUGUAGUCUGCUUCGAUUCUCUUGGUGCUGCUCUUAAGUUGCUUCUCUUUCCUGACUGCUUUUGUAAGAGGUGGGCAUAUCCUAUUCCUGACUCAUUUUGUCAAAUCAUUCUCUGAUUCGUCACUUUCUCUGUCCCUCAAUUAGACAUCAUUGUUUGGUAUUAAAGGUAUGUGUGUAUUUCAGCCAAAUGGAUUAAAAGUGUGUCAUGUCUAUAUUCCAGUCAUACAGAUUAAAGGUGUGUAUGUCAGCCAAAAGGAUUAAAGGUGUAUAUUAAGGGUGUGUCUGUAUUUUAGCUAGAUCACACAGACCUGGGUCUUUGAAUGUAAUUCGUUGCCAUAGUAGCCAUGAUGCCAGACUAAAAUUCCUCUACAUCUGGUGUUUGGUAAUAUUGCCAAAAUUCUUUGAAGC
Long non-coding RNA from Psammomys obesus (fat sand rat), 819 nucleotides. RefSeq lists it as uncharacterized. The record is from RefSeq and is a predicted model, not a curated record. The transcript is spliced from 4 exons. Lineage: Eukaryota; Metazoa; Chordata; Mammalia; Rodentia; Muridae.